RNAcentral lists this ribosomal RNA (253 nucleotides) under uncultured bacterium. RNAcentral describes it as "partial 16S ribosomal RNA". It matches the Rfam family "Bacterial small subunit ribosomal RNA", at positions 524 to 776 of the family's 1533-position model. The record is from RNAcentral.
UACAGAGGUCUCAAGCGUUGUUCGGAUUCAUUGGGCGUAAAGGGUGCGUAGGUGGCGCUGUAAGUCGGGUGUGAAAUUUCGGAGCUUAACUCCGAAACUGCAUUCGAUACUGCGGUGCUUGAGGACUGGAGAGGAGACUGGAAUUCAUGGUGUAGCAGUGAAAUGCGUAGAGAUCAUGAGGAAGACCAGUGGCGAAGGCGGGUCUCUGGACAGUUCCUGACACUGGAGCACGAAGGCCAGGGGAGCAAACGGG